Lagenorhynchus albirostris (white-beaked dolphin) is the source of this 2631-nucleotide long non-coding RNA. RefSeq lists it as uncharacterized. The transcript is spliced from 3 exons. The record is from RefSeq and is a predicted model, not a curated record. NCBI's taxonomy places the organism in Eukaryota, Metazoa, Chordata, Mammalia, Artiodactyla, Delphinidae.
UAAAAUGCUAUGUCGCUGCAGAUACUAAGCAGACCAGCACUUUCAAUUUAAUUCUGUAAAUGUUUAUUGAAGCCUUUGAUAAGUUUAACAUGUACAUGGCAACUUGACUUAACAGGAAUCUAGCUGUCCAAGGAGUUUACCCUCUGUGGUUUUUGUCAGGCCAGUACUCUUUUCCUCCUGCUUUGGGGCAGCCACUCCUCCCCCUCUGGUGGCUGUGAAUCAUGGUACUUUAUUCCUUCAGCCACAGAGGUGGGCAUAUGGCCAGGCUAGGUCAAACUGAGUUCUUACCCGUGAAUUUUCUAGGAAGGUGGGGUGAUGAUGAUGAAAGGAGGUCUUGCUGAUGUGAGGUCUUCGUGAGCUUCAGGCUGGUUGAUCAGAAUGUAGUUCAUUUUCCUGUAUUAUCUUGUUGCUGCCCUCCUCUAUAUGGUUACUUUGUCCUCAGUCUGGCUUUUCUCAUGGUAGCAAGCAGGACUGCCAUGUUGCACAAUUCCAAGAGCCAUUAUUCACUUCUUACAGUAGUUUAUUCAUCCUGGGGGUCUUUAACCCCCAAGAAUCUACAAACACAUUCUUGAGGGUCUGUGUGUUCUCUAGGCAAAUUUUCAAAUUAAUUCAAGCAUUCCUUAACUGGUUUAAAUUGUUCCAUGACACUUGAAUGUGAGAAAUGUCACCUUUCUUAACUGCUUAAGUGAAAUUAAACUUGGCUGAGACCCCUAUUCCUCAAGGGCUGGCAAAACUGGUACCAAACAUUAUUGAGACUUGUCCUCCCCUUAACUGUAUCCUACAAAAAUCCAGGUGCUUACAUGGUCCUGAAAAAUUAGGGACAAAGCAACCUCUGGUUGUCAGUCUGUACCCAUCAGUGCUGAUGCUUCUGUCCAACCACCCUUGGGUUCUGGUCCUCUGCCAUCUGUUGAGCACAGCUGUCCUGGUAGGCUACAGAGAUGUCCUUCAUGGUGAUUAUUUUCAAUGACUGAUGACUCAGUCAUCGAAUAAGUUCUCUCUCUGUUAUCUAAAGUUUGUGUACUUCUUUGUCUUCUCCCUUAAAACUUGAGCCUUUUGAGGAAAGGGACAUUGCUGAUUUCUGUGUCGCCAGCAUGCCUAGAAUGAUGCCUUACACACAGUAGGUACUCAGUUGUUGAACGAAUGAAUGAACAUCUGACCAUCAUGCCAGAAGUCUAGGUUGUUGUUGUUUUUUUUCCACACCGCAUGGCAUGCGGGAUCUUAGUUCCCUGACCAGGGAAAGAACCUGUGCCCCCUGCAAUGGAAGCACGGAGUCUUAACCACUGGACUACCAGGGAAGUCCCCAGUCUAGGUAUUUAUAAAACAUCUGGGACAUCUUCAGUUUAUUAUUUGCUAUAAGACCUAGGUAUUUUUAGCCUCACCAAUACCUUUCUGGUUGUACUUUACCUUCUAUUUAUAUGUUAUUCAUUUUGUAAGUAUACUAUUUAUUGUUGUGUUUAAAAAAUCAGUGUGAUUAUAUAUUAUUUCUCUAGCUUGUCAAGACCAUAUUGAAUGAUAACUCCUCAAAAAUACCAAUUUCUCUUAUCAACUGUCUGUCAUCCCAAACCAUGCUAUUUGUUUAGUGAUAAUCCAGUGGGAUAAUUCUACAAUUAUCUUCAUCAGAGAGGGACACACUGUACUCUUUCCACCCACUGAUGUUUCCUGAGCAAUCAUUGGUUGAAUAAUGUCUACUCAAACAAGCUCACACUGUGAAACCAGCUCAGCAAGGCCUACCUGGAGGAUGCAAAGAUGGAUUGAUGUUGAACUGGAAAGAAGAGGUAAGAGAGAAAUACUGUUUCCUUGAGGAGGCGAUGGGUGGUCCAAAGCUAGAAUUAACACAGGCACUUAGACACCUGGUCCCUUUUCUACCCCACUUCAGCAACCAGACAUGAAGAUCUAAGCUGUAAAGUCCUCCUGUCACGAUGAGAAUCAGCAUGUUUACAAGAAGCUGUCCAGAAGCAAGGCGGCAUCCGUUAGCAGAGUGCCUGACACACUGGACUGAGAGCACCUGUCUCUGCCUCCUGGUUUCUCCCGACUCCCAGGGCAGGGCUCCCUCAUGCUGCCUCUGUCACCAUCACACCCAAAGAAAGGCCAGCCAAGGGCUGGGGGCAAUGUGAUGGCUGUUCCCUUCCUGCCUGGGGCUUUACCCUCAAGUCCUGGGGGACUGACAGGUAUUGUACUAACUGAAAUGAAAAUCAUUUUAUGUGCAGAAGCAAAUUCACCCAGAAUUCUGAAAGUGCAAAAGACUAGAUCCUUAAAGGAACAUUCUGGAUGCUGUGUUUUUCAGAAAAAAAAGGCGAAUGUUAAGUAAUUAAGCUAACAUUCGCGUUCUUUGUUUUCUAUUAUUCUAUAUUUUGAGUGAGUUACAGGAUGUGUUAGACAGUCCCAUCACUCCCAGGCUAAUUUCUUACAGUGACAUCUAAAGUUCUGUAAAAUGAUCUGCACAAUAAAAUGGUUUUAAAGGUGAAUUACUUAAAUUUCUGGAGGGCAUGAAUUAUAUUUACAUUGUAUCCCUAAUGACUAACACAGGGUUUGGCAUAUAUCAGGCACAUAAUGAUAAAUACGUUUGCAUUAAUUAGUAGAUUAUAAUCUGAUGAUUAGGCUUUAAUAAAAUAAUGGUAAUAACAUAUUUUU